This is a long non-coding RNA of Bos grunniens (domestic yak), 2379 nucleotides long. The record is from Ensembl. Lineage: Eukaryota; Metazoa; Chordata; Mammalia; Artiodactyla; Bovidae.
AUGUUGGUUUUUUUAGUUUAGAAAACACAGAAAACAGAAGAAAACAAAAAUCACCUAGUGAAUACUCAUUCAGUUUAAGUGCUGACAUACCUGUUUAGAAUCUUCUGGGUCCUCAUUGUAAAUUCUUAGUAGAAUCUGCUUGGUUCAGCUUGGAUCAUAUUUGUUCCUUGAGCCAUUCACCUGUAGCCAGGAAGGUUAGGAUCAUAUAGUGAUAUCAGAGUUGCAGAGACCCACCCCUUUGGGUUUUCAGAGAAGGAGAUCAUGAAGGACCCAAGAGGCUAUGAAAUUUGGUUGUGGAAAGCUCUUCCUGAAGGCAAUGCUGUUGGGGAAUGGGGGGCAUCUAGCAGGACCAGAGACAGAUGAAUUUGGGGCUGUUGCACCUAGGCAAAAAAAUAGGCUCCUGCACUAAGUAGUGACUAUUGGAUGGAGAGCUGAAGAAGGAAAAAUUAGGAGGGAGAACCAACCAACUACCUUUGGUGACUGAUUUGAUGGGGGAGAUGAGACUGGGUUUAGGUAAGAGGACAGGAAAACUGGUUAACAAGAUGGUGAUUUUGAGGUGCCUGUGGAACAACUAAGAAGAUGUGUCCCAUGGGCAGUUGUGGGCAGUUAGAGCUUAAAAGAGUGAUCUGGGUCGGAGUGAGGUGGUGGUUCCAGCUGGGAAUGAGGAUAAGAUAAUCAGGGAGAAUGUGCGGAGUGAGAAGCCAGAACCCAGGGAGGGCUACUAAUGGAUAAGGGGCAGUCAAUUAGGAGUCUGAACAGGUGUGAUUGAAGAGUUGAGAACUAGCAUGGAGUGCUGUCAUGGAAAUCAGCAGAGAGUAUUGUCAGGAAAGUUGAUGGGAAAUGCUGCAGACAGAUCCAAUGACACAGAGCCUGAAGAGAAUCUUUUCAACCUAGCAGCAAGAUUCAGAGAGGACCUCUUGGCUGGCUUAUGGAGAGGAAGAAGACAAAGUGAGAGAGAAGACAAAAGAGAAUGAGCAAUGGAGACAGAGGUGAGCUCUGAGAGAGAACCACAAGCUGAGGCUGCUCUCUGCAGAAGCUCUGUGGGGAAAUGGCUGCAUGGUGAACCCUGGGAAGGGAUCACAGGCUUCUGAGCAAGCGUUCCCACACUCCGAAUAUGUAAUAGAAACAGCAGCGAGCCUCCAGCCCUGCAGGUGAGAUGCAGAUAAAAGCAAUGGAAAGCACAGUGGCAACCAGAGUUGCUCCCCUGCUCUCCCACCUCUCCUUCCUGAGGUCUUAGAAAUUCCAAGCAUCCACCUAUCCAGAUGGGAUGGGGGAGAGGCCCAGGAAAGAUGAAGGUUGUCAAGACUACUGCACAUGCAUGUUGGUGGCUUACAGAAAAGUGCCUGAGCUGAGGGGUGAGGGUGAAGGCUGGCUGAAAUCUACGUGUUCUCUGAGCCCCAAGCUCUGUACCUGAAGGAAGAGGCUUUUUGUGACUUGCUCAGUGAAGGUGUGCUUGUGAUUCUACUAUCUGGAAGGGGUGUGUUUUGGAAAUUGAGUGCUAGCAGAGCCCCAAAAGUUGACUUCCACCAACCCAGAGUCAGAAAUAAUGUGGUUUCUAGACAGUGGGAUCCACAUCUACUACAUGUGUGCCAGGCCCACCUGAUGGAUGGCUGUGAAAAUCAAAUGAGGUAAUAUGUGUGAAGAAGGUAUUUGAAAAUUGGUGACAUGCACACAUGCUUGAGGUAUUAUUAUCAGCAGCUUUGAGACAUUGUGCCAGAACAGUUCUUUUUAUGUAUGAUCCAUAUAAAACAUUAAAUUUCUCAUCAUUGCACUUUACUUGGAAGUGAGAGGACUAAGCCUACAAAACUGUAUGUUCAUUUUAUUCAAGCCAUUGCAUUUGGCUUGUGGAAUGGUUAUUCUAGGUCCUUAGAUCAUUUGUUUGCUUAACAAAAACAAUACACGUUCUAUGUACUAUUAAAUAAACAUUGAUGAUUGUGACACUAAAAUUAAAAAUGUAAAAUACCAUGAAACUCAAUUAAAUCAUUCUCAAAGGACUCUAAAAUGCAAGCUUUCAUGGUGCCAAGAUAAUUUCCUCUGUUGGUACGCCAGACCAGGUUUAAAAUGAAAAUAUCGAGUACACGUAAACUCAAUGGUUCUGUCCUAUAUUGUCACAGUAAGAGUUGAACCCAGGGACUCUAAUUUAGAAACUGAAUCCAAUAAGACUUCUAUUUUGGCUUCCUAAAGGCCUUUCUCUCUUUCCUAUUCCUGAUUUUAUUUUUUAAGCUAUAACUAAAAUUACUUAGUAAAAAAAUGUUUUGAGACAUGUGAAUUCAUUUAUAAAGUAGUUCUGCUAUAAAAUAUCUUUUUGGCAUCAAUUUCAAUGAGCUCAUUUUCCCCCUUAUUCUUUUGUUUAAAGAUGAGAGAAACUGGUAGGAGGAA